This 253-nucleotide ribosomal RNA is filed under the name uncultured bacterium. RNAcentral describes it as "partial 16S ribosomal RNA". It matches the Rfam family "Bacterial small subunit ribosomal RNA", at positions 524 to 776 of the family's 1533-position model. The record is from RNAcentral.
UACGUAGGGGGCGAGCGUUGUCCGGAUUUAUUGGGCGUAAAGGGCGCGCAGGCGGCCGUUUAAGUUCGUGGUGAAAGACCGGGGCUCAACCCCGGAGUGUCCGCGAAGACUGGACGGCUGGAGUGUCGGAGAGGAGCACGGAAUACCAGGUGUAGCGGUGGAAUGCGUAGAGAUCUGGUGGAACACCGAUGGCGAAGGCAGUGCUCUGGCCGAAGACUGACGCUGAGGCGCGAAAGCUGGGGGAGCGAACGGG